This is a long non-coding RNA of Oreochromis aureus, 1804 nucleotides long. NCBI's taxonomy places the organism in Eukaryota, Metazoa, Chordata, Actinopteri, Cichliformes, Cichlidae. The record is from Ensembl.
CUACAAGUUACAUGCUUUAUUUAAUGCCUGCAAAAGAUAACACUAAUAAUCAGUAACAUUUUAAUAAACAAUAAAAAUGCACUAAUACAAAAAUGAUUCAACAAUGAAUUUGAUCUUAUUUUGCCCCUCUCACACCCCUCUAGGAGCCCCAAAAGUAUAAAAAUAGCUUUAAUUUCACAGCUGAUCUUGAGACCUGCUGGUGUCCAGGUGGAGGUCAGCAGCCCAGUCAAUCUCAGAAGCCUUUUGACUCGCAAGCUGUUGAUAACUUGAUUUGCAGGAUAAAGAAGCUAUUUUGACAUGGAGUCAGCAGCUGACCCACCUUGCUGUUUUUGCUGGCCAGCAGUCUCUGGGCAGUCUACUGUAUAACCACACCAUCUUUUUAGAGUAAAACUGAGAGCACUUGUAGCUCUCAAAAAAUGAAAUUUGAAUGUAAAAUUAUGACACUCAGGGGCAAGUUGAGAAACUAUUAAUUACUCUCAAACACAAUAAAAGUUGCCAUAAAGGCAGUAAAUUAAAAAACAGUUCAAGUUGUUGUGUUGUAUAUGUUUUACUGAUUGCUCUUGUGACUGAUGGAGUUUUCUAUUACUCCAGAUUACUACACUGUGGCAGAAUUGUAGAUUAACGCUGUAAUCUUAAUUCAUAAAGUCUGACAGAAACCCAGUAAAAGAAUGUAAGCUAGUGAUAGGCUACCGUUUUAUGAUUAGAAGACUCCCAAGCAAAAAAAUGACACAACAAGUCAAUUAUUAACCUCAACUUGCCAAAGAUCAAAGUGUAUUGGUUGACCAUAAGUAACAAUAAGACUUUAGAUGGUCUUAAAUUUUCGUGUAUUUCAGGGUGACGACUUCAUUUGCUGUUGGAAGGUAACAUCCCAUACCUGUAAAAAAAAAAUUUAAGUUCAGAGAAUAUUAUAUAAUACGACAAGUUGGACUGUGUGCAACAAAUGUCUGACCUCAGCUUAUCUAACACAUCGUGAGUUUGGUUCACUCACCAACAUCGAGUGGGGUUUUACCACUCAGCAGUUGCCAGUAGUAUGAUGAAUUUCCUGCCAAACCAUUUACACUCUGAAGGAAUGGUCCAUAGUCAUCAUUUGGUAUGUACUGAAAGCUGGAAACAUAGGGCAUGACUUUUUAAAGAGCAAAAUGGACAGUUUUUCAUAUAACUAUGAAAUCCUUUUUAACAAUGCAAAUAGUUUUACUCUCUAUGUUUUUUCACAGAACUCUGCAUUCAGUUAUAAGUUAUUAUUAAUCUCUGGCUCUUUUCCACGGUGCGUCUCUUGUCCUGUCUCCCUCCCCUCACACCCAGCAGGUCACAGCAGAUGGGUCCCCCUGAGCCUGGUUCAGCCCGAAGUUCUUCUCUGUUAAAACUGUCGCCAAGUGCUUGCUCAUAUGGGGCCAUGUGAAAUAUUAAUGAAAGGAAGGCAUUUCUUAAAGCUGUGAUGUGGUUUUUGACUGUGCUGUACAUAUACAGGUUUCUGUGGUCUACUGUAAGAAAAAAAAGUAUGAAGAUUUGUUUUGUGUUUUUUUAAGAUGUCAACAAACAUUACAGGGCACAAUUAGUGAUCUGAAAUUAAAAAUUCACACCCAGAUAUACGGGGUCUCAAUUUUAAUUAAACAUUAAGAGAACAAAAGUAAAUGUAUGGCUUCUUCUAGUAAGGAAAUAGUUGAUGUGAUGGUCUUACUUGAAGCCUUGGUUUGAGUAUUUCAGUCUCGUCAGUCCACCGAAGAGGCUUCCUCUAUAAGCAGUAGAAGUGCUGUAGGUCUUAAUGUUCUUGGGUGACACAUUCACCUGCACUUUGAAGUUAGUG